CGCGUGGGAAUCUACCUGGAACUACGGAACAACUGAGGGAAACUUCAGCUAAUACCGUAUACGCCCUAUGGGGGAAAGAUUUAUCGGUUUCAGAUGAGCCCGCGUAAGAUUAGCUAGUUGGUGGGGUAAUGGCCUACCAAGGCGACGAUCUUUAGCUGGUCUGAGAGGAUGAUCAGCCACACUGGGACUGAGACACGGCCCAGACUCCUACGGGAGGCAGCAGUGGGGAAUAUUGGACAAUGGGCGCAAGCCUGAUCCAGCCAUGCCGCGUGAGUGAUGAAGGCCUUAGGGUUGUAAAGC
RNAcentral lists this ribosomal RNA (300 nucleotides) under uncultured Devosia sp. RNAcentral's name for it is "bacterial SSU rRNA". It matches the Rfam family "Bacterial small subunit ribosomal RNA", at positions 114 to 431 of the family's 1533-position model. Lineage: Bacteria; Pseudomonadati; Pseudomonadota; Alphaproteobacteria; Hyphomicrobiales; Devosiaceae. The record is from RNAcentral.